AAAGGAAUAGACGGGGACUCACACAAGCGGUGGAUCACGUGGCUUAAUUCGACAGUAAGCGAGGAACCUUACCAAGGCUUGAAACUCUAAUGCAAUCCUUCCGAAAGGAAGGCCCUCCGCAAGGACGUUAGAGCAGGUGCUGCAUGGUUGUCGUCAGCAGGUGGCUUGAGUUGCUCCCUUAAAUGGGGUAACCUGCGCAACCCUUGCCCUAUGUUUUAAAUGUCAUGGGGGACUGCCUAGGACAACUAGGAGGAAGGUGAGGAUGACGCCAAAUCAGCAUGGCCCUUUGAUGCCUUGGGCUGCACACGUGAUACAAUGGAAAUGACAAAGGGAUGCGAAAAGGUAACUUGAAGCAAAUCCCAACAAACAUUUUCUCAAUUCGGAUUGAGGUCUGCAACCCGACCUCAUGAAGUCGGAAUCGCUAGUAACCGUAGAUCAGCCAUGCUACGGUGAAUGUGUCCCUGGGUCUUGUACACACCGCCCGU
This 485-nucleotide ribosomal RNA is filed under the name uncultured bacterium. Its description in RNAcentral is "bacterial SSU rRNA". It matches the Rfam family "Bacterial small subunit ribosomal RNA", at positions 903 to 1397 of the family's 1533-position model. The record is from RNAcentral.